UCCAAAUAUGCGCCGGCAUCAUCUCCUCUAACCGGCAUUGGAUAGCACUUGGGCGCCUGAAAUUUCUGCUGCAUUAACUGCGCAUACAUAGCCCUAGACAUCUUAACCACCAUGCGAACCAGUUCUUCCUCCCUCCCUCUGCUCAGAAACUUCUCCAUUUUCGCUGCGUACUUCAUUGUAUCAAUAUCUCUGUCGUAAAAUCCCUCAACUGCUAAAGAGAUCAAACAAAGCUCGUGCUUGAGAACCUGUGCCACUGAUGUUGGAACCCUAACCCGAACCUGAUGGAUAUUUCGUCUCGCUCUUUCCGGAUAAUCCGAAAUUCGGCUCUUCACCGCUUUUUGAAUAGAGUCCGCCGCUCGCGAUUCGCUUUCAUAGUAAGUAAAAAAUUUCAACGAAUCGAUUAAGUUCGGAUUAGACAACCGGCUUUUGGGAACAAUAUGGAGCUCGCCACCGCGAAUAAAAACGCGGUUUCCACUGUUCUCGGGAUUAAUCCAUCGAGGGAGGUGAAAAGCAGCUUCAAUAAGGAGGAAUUCGCCGUCGUUGUCCCAUACGCGUAUGGAAAGGGAAGG
RNAcentral lists this unclassified non-coding RNA (569 nucleotides) under Hevea brasiliensis (rubber tree). The record is from RNAcentral. Lineage: Eukaryota; Viridiplantae; Streptophyta; Magnoliopsida; Malpighiales; Euphorbiaceae.